This 574-nucleotide ribosomal RNA is filed under the name Aureobasidium namibiae. Its description in RNAcentral is "eukaryotic LSU rRNA". It matches the Rfam family "Eukaryotic large subunit ribosomal RNA", at positions 67 to 660 of the family's 3401-position model. Lineage: Eukaryota; Fungi; Ascomycota; Dothideomycetes; Dothideales; Saccotheciaceae. The record is from RNAcentral.
CACUUGCAUGCCUAGUACGGCGAGUGAGCGGCAACAGCUCAAAUUUGAAAGCUAGCCUUCGGGUUCGCAUUGUAAUUUGUAGAGGAUGCUUUGGGUAAAACGCCAGUCUAAGUUCCUUGGAACAGGACGUCAUAGAGGGUGAGAAUCCCGUAUGUGACUGGAAAUGUUAACCUAUGUAAAGCUCCUUCGACGAGUCGAGUUGUUUGGGAAUGCAGCUCUAAAUGGGAGGUAAAUUUCUUCUAAAGCUAAAUAUUGGCGAGAGACCGAUAGCGCACAAGUAGAGUGAUCGAAAGAUGAAAAGCACUUUGGAAAGAGAGUUAAAAAGCACGUGAAAUUGUUGAAAGGGAAGCGCUUGCAAUCAGACUUGUUUAAACUGUUCGGCCGGUCUUCUGACCGGUUUACUCAGUUUGGACAGGCCAGCAUCAGUUUCGGCGGCCGGAUAAAGGCUCUGGGAAUGUGGCCUCCACUUCGGUGGAGGUGUUAUAGCCCAGUGUGUAAUACGGCCAGCCGGGACUGAGGUCCGCGCUUCGGCUAGGAUGCUGGCGUAAUGGUUGUAAGCGACCCGUCUUGAAAA